RNAcentral lists this unclassified non-coding RNA (543 nucleotides) under Hevea brasiliensis (rubber tree). The record is from RNAcentral. Lineage: Eukaryota; Viridiplantae; Streptophyta; Magnoliopsida; Malpighiales; Euphorbiaceae.
GGAGCAUACAGAUCAAGAAAUAUGGGAGGUUCUUGAAAAGUGUCAACUUCGAGCAGUCAUUCAAGAAAAAGAAGAUGGUCUGAAUUCCGUAGUUGCACAAGAUGGAUCUAACUGGAGCAUGGGACAGCGGCAACUAUUUUGUCUAGGACGAGCAUUACUAAAGAGAAGCAGGAUAGUAGUGCUUGACGAAGCCACUGCAUCAAUUGAUAAUGCAACAGACUCUAUCCUUCAAAAAACCAUAAGAAAGGAAUUCACAGAAUGCACUGUAAUCACUGUGGCUCAUAGAAUACCAACUGUGAUGGACUGCACCAUGGUGCUUUCCAUUAGCGAUGGGAAACUGAUAGAGUACGAUGAGCCAUUGAAGCUGAUGAGCAGGGAAGGGUCACUAUUUGGGCAGCUUGUGAGGGAAUAUUGGUCUCGCACCUCAAACAGCAGCAACUAGUUAGAAGAUUGGCAACAAUAACCAUGGCAGCUAAAAGAAAAUGAUUUGGCAGUUUGAUAUACGCUUUUAGUUUAUUUUUUACUUUUCAUGUUUUAUUUCUU